Molecule: RNA transcript, 1722 nt
Organism: Polistes canadensis
Lineage: Eukaryota; Metazoa; Arthropoda; Insecta; Hymenoptera; Vespidae
Gene: TFAM
Gene name: transcription factor A, mitochondrial
Exons: 5
Source: RefSeq, a predicted model, not a curated record
AAAGAAAUAAUGAGGGGAAAAAAAUAUGGAUUUAAGAAACUUUUAUAAAUCACUAGAAAAAUUGAAAACGCACAUUAUAUGUUCGGCACGUAUAAAAUAUCAUGGCGGGUUUUGGAAGACUAGUUUCACCUGGUUCUUGUACUAAUCUAUUAAAUUCCAGAUGUUUAUCGAUGAAUUCUUAUCAAUUUAUAUCAUCUAAAACAAAAAAGUUUGUAGAAGACAGUCUUUUUCCGAACAAACCAAAAAGACCAUUAACACCAUUCUUUAGAUAUAUGAAAGAGAUAAGACCGAGAAUUGUUAGUGAAUAUCCAGGACAUAAAUCUAAUGAGAUUGUAAAACUUAUAUCUCAAAGAUGGGCUUCAGAAGAUCCAGGGUAUAAAUUUAAAUUAAAUAAAGAAUAUGAUAUAGAAUACAAAGAAUAUAUGAACAAAAUAGUAGAAUAUGAAAAAACAAUAACUCCUGAGCAAAGGGAACAUUAUAUAAUGACAAAAAAAAGUUUAAACAAAAAGAAAGACAAACAAGCUACUCAAUUACCUGGAAAACCAAAGAAACCACCAUCUGCUUUUAUACUUUAUAUGCUUCAUGUUAAAAGUACACAACAAUCUACCGUUAACAAUAGGGAAUUCCUAAAAAUGCUGAGUGUUCAAUGGAAAACUUUGAAUGAACAAGAUAAAAAACAAUUUGUAGAUCAAGCAGCGACAUUAAUGGAGCAAUAUAAUAAAGAUAAAAUAGAAUGGGAGCAAAAGAUGAUGAAGGAAACAUAUAAAAAUAUGUCUUCGUUUCCACAGACAUUCGAAAAUCCAAGUGAAAGAGAUGGAAUUAAGUAGGGAAUAAUGUGCCCCACCCUAUCUAACGAAAAAGUUGUUAGCAUCAUAUUAAUUCCUUCAAAAGUAUUUAAUAAUAACAUCGUGGGUCGGGGCACAGAGGUUCCUGAUUCUUUGACAAAUAUCUCGACUUAUAUUACUGGACGAAAUUCAAUAAUUUAUGAACAUCUUUCAAAUCUUUCUGGGCUUCGUAAUUUGUCUUCUACUUCGACUUAUAUGAUUAAAUUGAAAUUUAUUACAAACGAUUUAACGAAGCAUGCCAAUAAAAAGAAUUUAUUAAAAAUAGAUAAAUGUGAAAAUGCUGAUCUGGUAGAUUACCUACCAAUCAAUAAUAAUAAGAUACUAUCUGAUCCCGAUAUAAUUAUGAACAAUAUCAAAAUACAUUUAAAAUCUGAAGAACGAAAUGAAAAAUUCAAAUUUGAUAUGAAGAAACUAAACAAUUUUAUCAAAACUUGGGAUACAGUGAAGAAUUUUUUUAGACAUAUAUAAAAAUGGACAUACACAGAGACUGCAAAUGAUAAUAUUUGUCCAUGUGCAAAUAUAUCAAAUGAAGAUGCUAGUGCAGAAAAACACUGGGUAUAUUUGUAAUACAUAUAAAAUCGAGUAUAUGAUGUUUAUAAUAUAUACAUAAUAUACAAUCAUCUUAUUUUGAAAUAUGUGUCAGGAUAAGAAAUGUAUUGUUUAUGUAUUCAAUAUAUUAUUAUAACGAUUAUUUUGAAAUUUAGCAGAAAUUUAAUUUUUUAUAAGAUAAAAUUUCGUUGUCUUAAUUUUUUCAAUGCUUGAUAUAUUCAAUUAGACAUGAUAAAAAAAUAUUGGAAAUAUUUCUAACAACCAUUUACAUAAAUUAAUCAUAAACUUAUGUAAAAUAUAGUUGAUAGAAAAUAAAAAUGUUUUGUCA